RNAcentral lists this unclassified non-coding RNA (291 nucleotides) under Hevea brasiliensis (rubber tree). Lineage: Eukaryota; Viridiplantae; Streptophyta; Magnoliopsida; Malpighiales; Euphorbiaceae. The record is from RNAcentral.
GAAUCAUCUUACUUCUCAAAACAUUCUUUAGUUGCUACUGUCUGGAAGGAUAACACAAAUCGACUUCUUUCAGAAAAGCCCCUUGGCUCUUCUUAAAAUUUUCUCAAUAUUAGUUCUGUUACCUUUGAGAAAAAAUGAAUUUGGCGGAUUGCAUGCCAAUUGUAAUGCUAACAAGAAUCAGAAGCAGCGAAAAGCAUUGUUUAUAGGCUUAUAUGCUCUUGCAUUCUCAUGCCUAAGAAUAUAUUUCUUCAGUCAUGUCACCACUAUACAUUUCGGAGAAUAAUAUGGAUU